RNAcentral lists this ribosomal RNA (253 nucleotides) under uncultured bacterium. RNAcentral describes it as "partial 16S ribosomal RNA". It matches the Rfam family "Bacterial small subunit ribosomal RNA", at positions 524 to 776 of the family's 1533-position model. The record is from RNAcentral.
UACGUAGGCAGCAAGCGUUGUUCGGAAUUACUGGGCGUAAAGGGUGUGUAGGUGGCGCCGUAAGUCGGGUGUGAAAUCUCGGGGCUUAACUCCGAAACCGCAUUCGAUACUGCGGUGCUUGAGGACUGGAGAGGAGACUGGAAUUCAUGGUGUAGCAGUGAAAUGCGCAGAUAUCAGGAGGAACACCGGUGGCGAAGGCGGGUCUCUGGGCCGAUACUGACGCUGAGGAGCGAAAGCGUGGGGAGCGAACAGG